UCGAGAAUUUUUCACAAUGGGGGAAACCCUGAUGGAGCGACGCCGCGUGGGGGAUGAAUGGCUUCGGCCCGUAAACCCCUGUCAUUUGCGAGCAAAGCGCAUUAUUUAAAAGAUGAUGUGUAGAUAGUAGCGGAAGAGGAAGGGACGGCUAACUCUGUGCCAGCAGCCGCGGUAAUACAGAGGUCCCGAGCGUCGUUCGGAUUCACUGGGCGUAAAGGGUGCGUAGGUGGUGAGGUGUGUCGGAUGUGAAAUCUCGGAGCUCAACUCCGAAACUGCAUUGGAAACUACCUUGUUGGAGGGUUGGAGGGGGGACUGGAAUACUUGGUGUAGCAGUGAAAUGCGUAGAUAUCAAGUGGAACACCAGUGGCGAAGGCGAGUCCCUGGACAACUCCUGACACUGAGGCACGAAAGCUAGGGGAGCAAACAG
Molecule: ribosomal RNA, 427 nt
Filed under: uncultured bacterium
Lineage: Bacteria
Description: bacterial SSU rRNA
Rfam family: Bacterial small subunit ribosomal RNA
Source: RNAcentral